UACGUAGGGUGCAAGCGUUAAUCGGAAUUACUGGGCGUAAAGCGUGCGCAGGCGGUUAUGCAAGACAGUGGUGAAAUCCCCGGGCUCAACCUGGGAACUGCCUUUGUGACUGCAUGGCUAGAGUACGGUAGAGGGGGAUGGAAUUCCGCGUGUAGCAGUGAAAUGCGUAGAUAUGCGGAGGAACACCGAUGGCGAAGGCAAUCCCCUGGACCUGUACUGACGCUCAUGCACGAAAGCGUGGGGAGCAAACAGG
Molecule: ribosomal RNA, 253 nt
Filed under: uncultured bacterium
Lineage: Bacteria
Description: partial 16S ribosomal RNA
Rfam family: Bacterial small subunit ribosomal RNA
Source: RNAcentral